Molecule: small RNA, 1491 nt
Filed under: Pan troglodytes (chimpanzee)
Lineage: Eukaryota; Metazoa; Chordata; Mammalia; Primates; Hominidae
Description: processed transcript
Source: RNAcentral
GUCAAGAUGGCGGCGUCUGUAUUAAACACCGUGCUGAGGCGGCUUCCUAUGCUAUCUCUCUUCCGAGGUUCUCACAGAGUUCAGGUUCCCCUCCAGACUCUUUGCACCAAAGCUCCCUCUGAGGAAGAUUCUUUGUCCUCAGUUCCCAUUUCUCCUUAUAAGGAUGAGCCCUGGAAAUAUCUGGAAUCAGAAGGUACCUCUAAAGGGGGAAAGGGAGGGUCAGAUAGGAUUUGAGAUAAGUGGACAGAGCCACCCACUACACUCCCACCCAGGAAUAACUUGUAUGAUCUUUCAUUUCAGAAUACCAGGAGCGAUAUGGUUCUCGCCCCGUCUGGGCUGACUACCGCCGCAACCACAAGGGUGGUGUACCCCCACAGCGGACUCGGAAGACAUGUAUUCGUCGGAAUAAAGUUGUUGGGAAUCCCUGCCCCAUCUGUCGAGAUCACAAGUUGCAUGUUGACUUUAGGAACGUGAAGCUCUUGGAGCAAUUUGUCUGCGCCCACACGGGUAUCAUCUUCCAUGCUCCAUACACAGGAGUCUGUGUGAAGCAGCACAAGCGGUUGACCCAGGCCAUCCAGAAAGCCAGGGAUCAUGGUCUCCUCAUUUACCACAUCCCCCAGGUUGAACCACGGGACCUUGACUUCAGUACCUCUCAUGGGGCUGUGAGUGCUACUCCGCCAGCCCCCACCCUGGUCUCAGGUGACCCCUGGUACCCAUGGUACAACUGGAAACAGCCACCGGAGAGAGAACUGUCUCGCCUUCGCCGGCUUUACCAGGGUCAUCUCCGAGAAGAGAGUGGCCCCCCACCUGAGUCAAUGCCCAAGAUGCCCCCUAGAACACCAGCGGAAGCCUCCUCCACUGGGCAGACAGGCCCUCAGAGUGCUCUGUAGGAGCUGUAGACUGGGAAGAGAGGCCAGGCGUGGUGGCUCACUCCUGUAAUCCCAGCACUUUGGGAAGCCAAGGUGGGCUGAUCACUUGAUCCCAGGAGUUUGAGACCAGCCUGGGCACCAUGGUGAAACCUUGUCUUUACCAAAAAAUACAAAAAUUAGCUGGGUGUGGUGGUGCACACCUGUAGUCUCAACUAUUGGGGAGGCUAAGGUAGGAUCACUUGAUCCCAGGAGGCGGAGGUUGCAGCGAGUUGCAGUCGCACCCCUGCACUCCAGCCUGGGUGACAGCUAGACCCUGUCUCAAAAAAAAAAAAAAAAAAGACUGGGAAGAGAGCUAGAGGGACUAGGAGAUAAUGUGUAUGUAGGUUUAUGUGAUGGGAUAUCACCCUGAAGAGUUGUGUCUUUUGUGGCCAAUGACAAAUCCAGGAAAUGAAUGUUGCUGAUAGGGAUAAAUCUUGAGGCCGAGGGCGGGCGGUACAGAUGUGUAUGGGAAACCCCAACCCCUAUAUAUUGUAAAUAGAUGGGCUGGGCUAAACAUUGUUGCCGUUUCAUACUUCUACCAACUCAGCUUUUACACAAUAAAGCUCUACUGUCUCUGGUUUGC